CCUGGCUGCACGGCCCUUGGGAAUGGCGUGGGAUUGGGACCUGCAAAAGCAGGUCAAGAGGCAAAAAAACACGGACACAAACUGCUCCUGCACUUGACUUUCUCAAGGCUUCUUAGGAAAGGGAGUGUGUUUUCAUCUGUUUACGACGAGCUGUUUUAUAGUGUUUUUAUUGCGCGGGAAAGGAUUUAUUAUCGGGAAAGGAUGCGAGGUGGUGUGUGUUAAUGUGAUUCGGUGUGAGGUCCAAUACAAAGUGUGGAGCACAGCGGAGGAGUGGGAAGAGAAACAAGAAAAAUGAAAUGGGCCGGAGUGAGGAGAACUGAUUUUAUCUGAGUGAUGAGUUCUGCUGGCUGCAUCUCGUGGAAGGAAAAUGGGUUGGGAUUGCAUUCCUGCAAGCAAUAGUGAGAGGUUUUAACAUCUACACUGACCACGCAGCAGGGAAAUACCCUGCUGCGUUGAGCAGGCACAAACCUGACCAGCAUGUGUGGGGAUGUUUGGCACCAGUGCUUCAAAGGAAUACAUUGUUCACUCCGCUGUAAAGAAUUCCAGGCAGACAUGACGAAAGGGACAUUGCAGCUCAAGAAAAGAGACGUCCCGUGCAGCAUUGAUGAAACGCUGUUUGGAAACCAGGAACGAGCAAACAGGAAAGCUCUUUAACCAUUGAGGAGAUAGGAUCCCAGCAUGUUUUUGGCACCGACGGGAACAAUGGGGUGAUGUCACAAGCCAGAAUUCCCCACGGUGGAUGGAAGCCCAGCAAAUAAUCAUAAUUCUUUCUUGGUACAUUAGUGAAAUUUUUCCACCAUUGGUCAUCCCCCACUGAGUCCCUGUUAGGAAGUAUAGGAAGGAGACAUUGUCAAAUGGAGUUUCCUUUGGGAGAACCGUGUCUCCCCUCCCCAUCAGCUGUUAUAAAUCACGGCUUUCUGCUGACUACAAGAAAUUCCAGCAGAGCAGCUCUUGCUGCCUAAGCAGUGCUUUGCCCCAUAAGGAAGGGUGCACAAGGAGGUCUGGAUUCCUCUAGGGCAGAAGCAUCAUUUGCUGUCCAGCACUUUCAGCCUACACAGCAUCAGUACAGAGCUUUGUCUUUAUAGUUUCAGAAGUGCUGAGAAUGGCAGGGAGCUUAGAAGACACCAUCCUGGCCAAACAUUGUGGUUUGGAGAGUUUCAGCCUGUGGAAUGCUACCAAAUUGUAUGAGCAAUGCUACAGCAUCCUUCAAAUCCUAACUUCACAUUUUUAUUUUGGCUUCAAACCCAUGGAGAGUGACCUGAAGUGUACCUGAAGCACCUUGGUGCUUCAGUAUUGGUAAACCCUCAAUAUUUGUUAUCUCCAUCACAUGAGACCCCAACAUUUGGGGGACCCCAGUCCUCCGGGACUUCUGUAUUUGGUGGCUCCAGUUUUUGAAUCCCAACAUUUGGGACCUCCACAUUUGGAGAUGUGGACAUUUUGGAAGUCACUCAUUUGGCCUUCCAAUAUGGGUAAAAUCAGUGGUUGAGACCUCAAUAUUUAGGGGGAUCCUCCUUUUUCUGAAGCAGCUCUGGAACUCCCCUGGCUUCUUUUUUUGGAUAAAGGCUAGACCCACUAUGUAACUGGGGUUGCUAAUCCAUCCUCCCAGGUGGUGACAGCACUGGAACAUUAUUGGGCUGUUGCUCAAGAUCCAAGCAACUCCCACCUUUCCAAAAUUUGCUCUGCAAGCACCUGGUUAUACUCUGUGUGCAGCACACCAACUCCAGGCUGUGACUUUCCUUUUUUUGUGUGUGUGACCAUUGGU
RNAcentral lists this long non-coding RNA (1762 nucleotides) under Meleagris gallopavo (turkey). RNAcentral's name for it is "lncRNA (ENSMGAG00000021650.1)". Lineage: Eukaryota; Metazoa; Chordata; Aves; Galliformes; Phasianidae. The record is from RNAcentral.